AACGAACGCUGGCGGCAUGCCUAACACAUGCAAGUCGAACGAGACCUCCGGGUCUAGUGGCGCACGGGUGCUUAACGCGUGGGAACCUGCCCUUAGGUUCGGAAUAACUCCCCGAAAGGGGUGCUAAUACCGGUUAAUGUCUUCGGACCAAAGAUUUAUCGCCUUUGGAUGGGCCCGCGUUGGAUUAGCCAGUUGGUAGGGUAAAAGCCUAUCAAGGCGACGAUCCAUAGCUGGUCUGUGAGGAUGAUCAGCCACACUGGGACUGAGACACGGCCCAGACUGCUACGGGAGGCAGCAGUGGAGAAUAUUGGACAAUGAGCGGAAGCCUGAUCCAGCAAUGCCGCGUGAGUGAUGAAGGCCUUAGGGUUGUAAAGCUCUUUUACCCGGGAUGAUAAUGACAGUACCGGGAGAAUAAGCUCCGGCUAACUCCGUG
Molecule: ribosomal RNA, 433 nt
Filed under: uncultured bacterium
Lineage: Bacteria
Description: partial 16S ribosomal RNA
Rfam family: Bacterial small subunit ribosomal RNA
Source: RNAcentral